AAUCCAUAGGUUAAUGAGGCGAACCGGGGGAACUGAAACAUCUAAGUACCCCGAGGAAAAGAAAUCAACCGAGAUUCCCCCAGUAGCGGCGAGCGAACGGGGAGGAGCCCAGAGCCUGAAUCAGCAUGUGUGUUAGUGGAAGCGUCUGGAAAGGCGCGCGAUACAGGGUGACAGCCCCGUACACAAAAGCGCAUGUGCUGUGAGCUCGAUGAGUAGGGCGGGACACGUGGUAUCCUGUCUGAAUAUGGGGGGACCAUCCUCCAAGGCUAAAUACUCCUGACUGACCGAUAGUGAACCAGUACCGUGAGGGAAAGGCGAAAAGAACCCCGGCGAGGGGAGUGAAAAAGAACCUGAAACCGUGUACGUACAAGCAGUGGGAGCCCCACCACCAAAGCAUUCUCUGGUGUUGAAGGCCCUGCAAAGCAGCAUCGCGGUGGCGGAGCGUCGUUUGCGACGCCCAAUACACAAAACAAGCGGUGAGUGCUUUGGGGUGGGGUGACUGCGUACCUUUUGUAUAAUGGGUCAGCGACUUAUAUUCUGUAGCAAGGUUAACCGAAUAGGGGAGCCGGAGGGAAACCGAGUCUUAACCGGGCGUUAAGUUGCAGGGUAUAGACCCGAAACCCGGUGAUCUAGCCAUGGGCAGGUUGAAGGUUGGGUAACACUAACUGGAGGACCGAACCGACUAAUGUUGAAAAAUUAGCGGAUGACCUGUGGCUGGGGGUGAAAGGCCAAUCAAACCGGGAGAUAGCUGGUUCUCCCCGAAAGCUAUUUAGGUAGCGCCUCGUGAAUUCAUCUCCGGGGGUAGAGCACUGUUUCGGCUAGGGGGCCAUCCCGGCUUACCAACCCGAUGCAAACUGCGAAUACCGGAGAAUGUUAUCACGGGAGACACACGGCGGGUGCUAACGUCCGUCGUGAAGAGGGAAACAACCCAGACCGCCAGCUAAGGUCCCAAAGUCAUGGUUAAGUGGGAAACGAUGUGGGAAGGCCCAGACAGCCAGGAUGUUGGCUUAGAAGCAGCCAUCAUUUAAAGAAAGCGUAAUAGCUCACUGGUCGAGUCGGCCUGCGCGGAAGAUGUAACGGGGCUAAACCAUGCACCGAAGCUGCGGCAGCGACACUGUGUGUUGUUGGGUAGGGGAGCGUUCUGUAAGCCUGUGAAGGUGUGUCGUGAGGCAUGCUGGAGGUAUCAGAAGUGCGAAUG
Molecule: ribosomal RNA, 1198 nt
Filed under: Salmonella enterica subsp. enterica serovar Altona
Lineage: Bacteria; Pseudomonadati; Pseudomonadota; Gammaproteobacteria; Enterobacterales; Enterobacteriaceae
Description: partial 23S ribosomal RNA
Rfam family: Bacterial large subunit ribosomal RNA
Source: RNAcentral